RNAcentral lists this ribosomal RNA (433 nucleotides) under uncultured bacterium. RNAcentral's name for it is "partial 16S ribosomal RNA". It matches the Rfam family "Bacterial small subunit ribosomal RNA", at positions 29 to 507 of the family's 1533-position model. The record is from RNAcentral.
AACGAACGCUGGCGGCAGGCCUAACACAUGCAAGUCGAGCGAGGACUUCGGUCCUAGCGGCGGACGGGUGAGUAACGCGUGGGAACGUGCCCUUUGCUUCGGAAUAGCCCUGGGAAACUGGGAGUAAUACCGGAUGAGCCCUUUGGGGGAAAGAUUUAUCGGCGAAGGAUCGGCCCGCGUUGGAUUAGGUAGUUGGUGGGGUAAUGGCCUACCAAGCCGACGAUCCAUAGCUGGUUUGAGAGGAUGAUCAGCCACACUGGGACUGAGACACGGCCCAGACUCCUACGGGAGGCAGCAGUGGGGAAUCUUAGACAAUGGGGGAAACCCUGAUCUAGCCAUGCCGCGUGAGCGAUGAAGGCCUUAGGGUUGUAAAGCUCAUUCAGCUGGGAAGAUAAUGACGGUACCAGCAGAAGAAGCCCCGGCUAACUCCGUG